UAGAUUGAAGCCUGUUGAUUAUGACGUUUAGCUGUUAACUAAAAGUUCGUAGGAUAAAAGCCUACCAAUCUAG
This 73-nucleotide transfer RNA is filed under the name Rhynchocyon petersi (black and rufous elephant shrew). Its description in RNAcentral is "tRNA-Asn". Lineage: Eukaryota; Metazoa; Chordata; Mammalia; Macroscelidea; Macroscelididae. RNAcentral also lists the same sequence under 3 other names. The record is from RNAcentral.